CCUACGGGUGGCAGCAGUGAGGAAUAUUGGUCAAUGGGCUUACGCCUGAACCAGCCAAGUCGCGUGAGGGAAGACUGCCCUAUGGGUUGUAAACCGCUUUUGUCAGGGAGCAAAUGGCGCUACGUGUAGCGUGAUCGAGAGUACCUGAAGAAAAAGCAGGGGCUAACUCCGUGCCAGCAGCCGCGGUAAUACGGCGGAUGCGAGCGUUAUCCGGAUUUAUGGGGUUUAAAGGGGGCGUAGGCGGAAUGCCAAGUCAGCGGUAAAAUCGCGGGGCUCAACCUCGCGCCGCCGUUGAAACUGGCGUUCUUGAGUGGGCGAGAAGUAUGCGGCAUGCGUUGUGUAGCGGUUA
This 349-nucleotide ribosomal RNA is filed under the name uncultured bacterium. Its description in RNAcentral is "partial 16S ribosomal RNA". It matches the Rfam family "Bacterial small subunit ribosomal RNA", at positions 338 to 684 of the family's 1533-position model. The record is from RNAcentral.